This 524-nucleotide ribosomal RNA is filed under the name uncultured bacterium. RNAcentral's name for it is "partial 16S ribosomal RNA". It matches the Rfam family "Bacterial small subunit ribosomal RNA", at positions 28 to 523 of the family's 1533-position model. The record is from RNAcentral.
GACGAACGCUGGCGGCGUGCCUAAUACAUGCAAGUCGAGCGCAGGAAACUGACGGAACUCUUCGGAGGGAAGGCAGCGGAAUGAGCGGCGGACGGGUGAGUAACACGUAAGGAACCUGCCUCAAGGAUUGGGAUAACUCCGAGAAAUCGGAGCUAAUACCGGAUAGUUCAACGGACCGCAUGGUCCGCUGAUGAAAGGCGCUUCGGCGUCACCUUGAGAUGGCCUUGCGGUGCAUUAGCUAGUUGGUGGGGUAACGGCCCACCAAGGCGACGAUGCAUAGCAGACCUGAGAGGGUGAGCGGCCACACUGGGACUGAGACACGGCCCAGACUCCUACGGGAGGCAGCAGUAGGGAAUCUUCCACAAUGGGCGAAAGUCUGAUGGAGCAACGCCGCGUGAGUGAUGAAGGUUUUCGGAUCGUAAAACUCUGUUGUAAGGGAAGAACACGUACGAGAGGAAAUGCUCGUACCUUGACGGUACCUUACGAGAAAGCCACGGCUAACUACGUGCCAGCCGCCGCCGUAA